UACGUAGGGAGCGAGCGUUGUCCGGAUUCAUUGGGCGUAAAGAGCUCGUAGGCGGUUUGUCGCGUCUGCCGUGAAAGUCCGGGGCUCAACUCCGGAUCUGCGGUGGGUACGGGCAGACUAGAGUGAUGUAGGGGAGACUGGAAUUCCUGGUGUAGCGGUGAAAUGCGCAGAUAUCAGGAGGAACACCGAUGGCGAAGGCAGGUCUCUGGGCAUUAACUGACGCUGAGGAGCGAAAGCAUGGGGAGCGAACAGG
Molecule: ribosomal RNA, 253 nt
Filed under: uncultured bacterium
Lineage: Bacteria
Description: partial 16S ribosomal RNA
Rfam family: Bacterial small subunit ribosomal RNA
Source: RNAcentral